AUUAUUAUAAAACCAAAAUACUUGAAAACUACCUCUCUCUUUUAGAUGACCUCCCCUGUCAAACCAGUAAAAUCCAAUAAAGUGCACUUUAUUUAUUUAAAAUAUCCAUUACAAUCGAGGGGUAUUUCUGAGAAAUCAUAAGAUAUUUUAGGUAUAGCCUGAAACCCUACAUUUCCGCCGCAAUUCCCGAUCCCGAUCCCAAUCCCAUUUCCAAUUUCCAAGUUCAAAGUUCCAGGCUCCAGCUCCCUCGACGAUGGAUCCUGAAAUUCGAACAAUUGUUCCUUUUAACUCUCACCUCAAUAUAUGGUUCACUGUAUGUAUUGUUGGGUGAUUCCACUGGAAUGGUGCAGUUGUACAUAGUCAGAAUCCGAUGAUGAAUGCUUAUAUUGCAAGUGCCGAAUGACGCUUCUACCAAAGUUGGGUGUUUGAUUUGAUAAAGGUUUCUGAGGAUUCUUUUCCCUUAAUUGUUUCAAAUGAUCAACUACACCUAAAUCCGUAAUUACUUAGUGUCUGGAUUUAUUCCAUUGUGUCCAAGUCCAUUCAGGGUAGCUCAUCAUGUUUAGACUAUUUUACGUUGGCCGUCAAUAUACCACAAGCCUCCUGUUUUAUAUGUGUGUCAAAACGGCAAAUAUUUUUGUAUGCUUGUUUACUUAAAAUGCAUGGUUCAACUAUGAAGCCGUUGAUACCUAGCAUAAAGGAUAUAAUUGAUUUCAAAGAAUUAAACAUCGUCUCCUCAUUCUUUUUCUGUUAAUUGCAUAGUUCAGUCAUUUAUGCCCCCUCUCCUUUCUAAUUCCUGGAAUUUCAAUAAAAGGGCAGCCCUGUGCACUAAAGCUACCGCUAUGAGCGGUGUCCGGGGAAGGGUCCCACCACAAGGGUGUAUCGUACGCAGCCUUACCUAGCAUUUCUGCUAAAGGCUGUUUAAUUCCAGGAAUUCCAAUGAGGAAUGCUAAUGUUGGAAGUGCCAAAUACAUAUUUCAACUUGCAGAACAUUUGAUCCUAGAAUAUAAAUACAGUCCCUUGAUUCAUUCUUGCCUAAAUGCAUUUUUCCCCUUCCUGGUUAGUGACAUAGAGUAGUAGUAUCGAAAAAGAGAAGAGUCUUUUCAUUUCCUGCUCCCUCUACUUUAUAGUACCAUUCUCUCUUGUCUGAUGUUUUGCAAUUGAUGCUAGAUUUGAUUUCCAGCGAAUCUUUUAUCAAUCACAAGUCUCAAAAGCCUGAAUAGUAAAGUUAAUGGUAUCAUAUGAAAGCACCUAUUGAUUUCUGAACUAGCAGCUCCAUAAAGUUCACCAGCCUUGUGCGCAAUGACAUCAGGUAUCCGAUCCUGAGCGUUGUGCACAAUGACAUCAGGUAUCUGAUCCCGAACCUUGUGCGCAAUGACAUUGGGUGUCUGAUCAUGAGCCGUGUUCAGGAGACUUGUGCACAAUGCCAUCAUGUAUCUGAUCUUGAGCCUUUCUGCCAUAUUGAUCAUUUAAUCGUCCUGCGGUUGUGUAAGUCUGAAAAUAAGAUGUAUACUAUAAAAAAUCCACUGUUGUAACUUGUGAUGGGAUCUUAUUAACCUUUUGGCAGUCUACUAGUUAGUUAUUG
Long non-coding RNA from Capsicum annuum, 1582 nucleotides. RefSeq lists it as uncharacterized. Lineage: Eukaryota; Viridiplantae; Streptophyta; Magnoliopsida; Solanales; Solanaceae. The transcript is spliced from 2 exons. The record is from RefSeq and is a predicted model, not a curated record.